CCGGCACGGGUGAGUAACACGUAUCCAACCUGCCGUCUACUCUUGGCCGGCCUUCUGAAAGGAAGAUUAAUCCAGGAUGGCAUCAUGAGUUCACAUGUCCGCAUGAUUAAAGGUAUUUCCGGUAGACGAUGGGGAUGCGUUCCAUUAGAUAGUAGGCGGGGUAACGGCCCACCUAGUCAACGAUGGAUAGGGGUUCUGAGAGGAAGGUCCCCCACAUUGGAACUGAGACACGGUCCAA
Molecule: ribosomal RNA, 238 nt
Filed under: uncultured bacterium
Lineage: Bacteria
Description: partial 16S ribosomal RNA
Rfam family: Bacterial small subunit ribosomal RNA
Source: RNAcentral